This 453-nucleotide ribosomal RNA is filed under the name Theonellidae sp. AS-2019. RNAcentral describes it as "partial 28S ribosomal RNA". Lineage: Eukaryota; Metazoa; Porifera; Demospongiae; Tetractinellida; Theonellidae. The record is from RNAcentral.
AAAAGCACUUUGGAAAGAGAGUUAAAGAGGCCGCGAAACCGUUGGGAGGGAAACGCAUGCAGCCGAACGGGCCCGCGUCGGGUUCAGGGGGCUGCGAGGCGUCCGACGUGCCGUCGGCACCCCUGUGGGUCGUCGGUGCGUGGAGGCGUCUCGCUCCCCUGCACUCUCGGCGGCAAGGGCCGGCCAAGUGCGGCGGGCACCGGGCGAAGAGCUCGCGUCGGGCAGGUAGCGCAGCCGUCCUCGGACGGAGGCGAACUUAUAGCCGACCGUGCGGAGCGUCCGGAGCCCACCGAGGAGAGCGGUGGCACUUCCACCCGUGCAGCGCAGGUCCGCUUUCUGCGGGCCGGGGCGCUCUCGUCCGUUCGUCGGUCGUGCCGCGUCACUGCGUGCAGUGUCCGGCCCGAGCGUCCGUCCGGGCGGGAGGUCGACCCACGACUUGCGCUUCGGUCGCUU